This 1676-nucleotide long non-coding RNA is filed under the name Athene cunicularia (burrowing owl). Its description in RNAcentral is "lncRNA (ENSACUG00000001166.1)". The record is from RNAcentral. Lineage: Eukaryota; Metazoa; Chordata; Aves; Strigiformes; Strigidae.
UAGUGAAACUUGUCUUGGACACAAGUGUGGCAUGCCUUCUGAGAUCACCCACAGGUGCUUUUAGGGAAGAACAAUGCUAAUUGGUGAACCAGAAAGCAUGCAGUGACUUCUGGGGACAUGGUGUGAGGAGGUGAUGUGCAACUCAGGGACUUUAAAUUGCUUGAGUCAUGUAUAGUCUGGAUGCAUGGACAACCUCUUACGCAGUGCUGCAUUAAGGUAUUUGAUAUGCUUGUGAGAAGGAAGCCAAGAGGACUUCAAACCUGUGAAAUAUAUGACAUGUUCCAGAUGUGUGGUGUGAGAGCCAUGCCUUCCAGUAGUAGCUGUAAAGGUAGCAGGUGAACAGUGCAAGUGAUGGCAUGGAGAAGACUUUAUAAUCACUGGGGUAUUUCCACCAUGGAUCUCAAAUCCUGGUGGUACAGAAAAAGGAGGUUGAAAUGGGGGGGGGGAAACUGUUAGUGUGUGCAGAGGUGCCUGAUGUUUGUAGCUCUGUGCAUUAGAGUGUCAAUUAAGCUAAUAAACAGAAUACUUGUUCACAAAUUAAAAAUAAAAAGUGAUGAUAACUGCUAAGUGGCAUAACAUUAAAAGCUUGCUGUCAGGUGGAUGAUUGAUUUGCAGUUGGGAGGAAAAAAGCAAGAGGCUGGUCUUCGUGUUCUCAAGAGGUACCAAGUGCUGCAGUUGUGUGCCCAAAAUUGCAAGCGACCCGCCAGUUCUGGAGAGCUUGCUGGUGAGACAAGGAGAGGCUGACGCUUCCCUGGGACCUGCCUGCUCGUGCUGCUUCGAGGAGUGCAUUUGUGUUGCCAUUGCACAGCUCGGACUGGCAGUGCUGGUUCCUGGUGCAGGGUCUAUGGGUACCUGUGUGGCCCCCGAGCAGGUAGGUACGACAUUGCCUGCCCUCCAGGAUAACAGCCGAGCCUCCUGCAAUCCCAUUGAUCGAAUCCUCCGAGGCUGGAGAAGCAUUUCAUGCAUCAUCAUAACAAGUUGUUCACAACUCCCUGUGCGCUGGGCUUCAAAUUCAGCCUUUCAAAAGACUUUGAUAAAGAAGAAAGGAUCAUUUUUUUCCUGACUGCUGCAAAUGAAAAUGCUUUUCACUUGGGAGUCGUGGGUCAUAUUUAUGGAAAUGGGGAGAGCACUUGCAAUAUUUAUAGUGGUUACAGAAGCGAUUGAAUCUAUCUUUUAUUGAUAUGUAUUUACAUGCCCACAAAAAUCUUAUUGCACAGUAGUUGAGAGAACUUUAUUUAGAUUUAGUAUUUUGAAGUAAUUUUUUAGUGCUUCUUUAUUAUCCAUGGAGUGUGAGAUUCAAUAUUUCAAGUAGGACUGUCACCAAACAGCCGGAGGUUUUUAAAAGAUUUUACAUAAAGAUAAAUGUUGAAGCCACAUUUUUCAGAGGCACCAUCUGUUCCGUGUUGACCUUAAUUUUCUGGAUGAGUGCUUUUCUUCAAACGUUUUAAGUCUUGUCUACAUUUCAUUUGGUUGGGAGUGUUUAGGUUAUUUGUUGAACAGGAAAUCAGAUAUUCAGAAUGCAAACACACCAUUACAUUGCAAAUUAUUCCCUUUGUAUAAUUUAGCAAACUGCUUUGUAAAUACUCUGCAGACUUGCUGGGGUGGCUCUGUGCCUCUGACAUCUGGCGGGUCAGCCCUGUGUGGAACUGGAUGUCUGAAUGUCACCAUCAUGCCUU